CAGCCGCCACGGUAAUACAGAGGGUGCGAGCGUUAAUCGGAUUUACUGGGCGUAAAGCGUGCGUAGGCGGCUAAUUGAGUCGGAUGUGAAAUCCCCGAGCUUAACUUGGGAAUUGCAUUCGAUACUGGUUAGCUAGAGUGUGGGAGAGGAUGGUAGAAUUCCAGGUGUAGCGGUGAAAUGCGUAGAGAUCUGGAGGAAUACCGAUGGCGAAGGCAGCCAUCUGGCCUAACACUGACGCUGAGGUACGAAAGCAUGGGGAGCAAACAGGAUUAGAUACCCGUGUAGUCCCUGUCUCUUAUAC
This 301-nucleotide ribosomal RNA is filed under the name uncultured bacterium. Its description in RNAcentral is "partial 16S ribosomal RNA". It matches the Rfam family "Bacterial small subunit ribosomal RNA", at positions 509 to 807 of the family's 1533-position model. The record is from RNAcentral.